GGGGAUUUAGCUCAGUGGUAGAGCGCUUGCAUAGCAAGCGCAAGGCCCUGGGUUCAGUCCCCA
Molecule: non-coding RNA, 63 nt
Organism: Rattus norvegicus (Norway rat)
Lineage: Eukaryota; Metazoa; Chordata; Mammalia; Rodentia; Muridae
Source: Rfam